AGUGAAGUCAUUGAUGCCAUGCUUCCAGGAAAAGCCUCUAAGCUUCAGAUAGUCAGGAAUCGUACCCCAAACCGACACAGGUGGUCGGGUAGAGAAUACCAAGGCGCUUGAGAGAACUCGGGUGAAGGAACUAGGCAAAAUGGUACCGUAACUUCGGGAGAAGGUACGCUCUUGAUGGUGAAGUCCCUCGCGGAUGGAGCUGACGAGAGUCGCAGAUACCAGGUGGCUGCAACUGUUUAUUAAAAACACAGCACUGUGCAAAAUCGCAAGAUGACGUAUACGGUGUGACGCCUGCCCGGUGCCGGAAGGUUAAUUGAUGGGGUUAGCGUAAGCGAAGCUCUUGAUCGAAGCCCCGGUAAACGGCGGCCGUAACUAUAACGGUCCUAAGGUAGCGAAAUUCCUUGUCGGGUAAGUUCCGACCUGCACGAAUGGCGUAAUGAUGGCCACGCUGUCUCCACCCGAGACUCAGUGAAAUUGAAAUCGCUGUGAAGAUGCAGUGUACCCGCGGCUAGACGGAAAGACCCCGUGAACCUUUACUACAGCUUGGCACUGAACAUUGAACCUACAUGUGUAGGAUAGGUGGGAGGCUAUGAAGACGUGACGCCAGUUGCGUUGGAGCCGUCCUUGAAAUACCACCCUUGUAUGUUUGAUGUUCUAACUUAGACCCGUUAUCCGGGUUGAGGACAGUGCCUGGUGGGUAGUUUGACUGGGGCGGUCUCCUCCCAAAGAGUAACGGAGGAGCACGAAGGUGGGCUAAUCACGGUUGGACAUCGUGAGGUUAGUGCAAUGGCAUAAGCCCGCUUAACUGCGAGAAUGACGGUUCGAGCAGGUGCGAAAGCAGGUCAUAGUGAUCCGGUGGUUCUGUAUGGAAGGGCCAUCGCUCAACGGAUAAAAGGUACUCCGGGGAUAACAGGCUGAUACCGCCCAAGAGUUCAUAUCGACGGCGGUGUUUGGCACCUCGAUGUCGGCUCAUCACAUCCUGGGGCUGAAGUCGGUCCCAAGGGUAUGGCUGUUCGCCAUUUAAAGUGGUACGCGAGCUGGGUUUAGAACGUCGUGAGACAGUUCGGUCCCUAUCUGCCGUGGGCGUUGGAAGAUUGAAGGGGGCUGCUCCUAGUACGAGAGGACCGGAGUGGACGAACCUCUGGUGUUCGGGUUGUGUCGCCAGACGCAUUGCCCGGUAGCUAAGUUCGGAAUUGAUAAGCGCUGAAAGCAUCUAAGCGCGAAGCGAGCCCUGAGAUGAGUCUUCCCUGAUACUUUAAGUAUCCUAAAGGGUUGUUCGAGACUAGAACGUUGAUAGGCAGGGUGUGUAAGCGUUGUGAGGCGUUGAGCUAACCUGUACUAAUUGCCCGUGAGGCUUAACCAUACAACACCCAAGGGGUUUUGUA
Molecule: ribosomal RNA, 1385 nt
Filed under: Vibrio cholerae
Lineage: Bacteria; Pseudomonadati; Pseudomonadota; Gammaproteobacteria; Vibrionales; Vibrionaceae
Description: bacterial LSU rRNA
Rfam family: Bacterial large subunit ribosomal RNA
Source: RNAcentral